Molecule: ribosomal RNA, 310 nt
Filed under: uncultured bacterium
Lineage: Bacteria
Description: bacterial SSU rRNA
Rfam family: Bacterial small subunit ribosomal RNA
Source: RNAcentral
GAUGAACGCUAGCUACAGGCUUAACACAUGCAAGUCGAGGGGCAUCAGGAUGUAGCAAUACAUUGCUGGCGACCGGCGCACGGGUGAGUAACACGUAUCCAACCUGCCUUUUACUCGGGGAUAGGCUUUCGAAAGAAAGAUUAAUACCCGAUGGUAUAAUAUUUCCGCAUGGGAUUAUUAUUAAAGAAUUUCGGUAAAAGAUGGGGAUGCGUUCCAUUAGGCAGUUGGCGGGGUAACGGCCCACCAAACCUUCGAUGGAUAGGGGUUCUGAGAGGAAGGUCCCCCACAUUGGAACUGAGACACGGUCCAA